RNAcentral lists this ribosomal RNA (643 nucleotides) under Lactarius sp. MRNo451. RNAcentral describes it as "eukaryotic LSU rRNA". The stretch from base 220 to 373 matches the Rfam family "5.8S ribosomal RNA". The record is from RNAcentral. Lineage: Eukaryota; Fungi; Basidiomycota; Agaricomycetes; Russulales; Russulaceae.
CCUGCGGAAGGAUCAUUAUCGUACAACAGGAGGUGCCGAGGUUGUCGCUGACCCCCCUUAGGUCGUGCACGCCUCGAGCAUUCUUACUCCUCAUCCACCCCUCACCCCUUGUGCAUCCCCGCGUGGGCUUUUUCUCUCUUACGAGAGAGAGCCGGCGUCUUUACACAAACACAAAGCAGCCUAGAAUGUUCUUUUUUUGCAUUUGUAUGCAGUUAAUAUAACUUUCAACAACGGAUCUCUUGGCUCUCGCAUCGAUGAAGGACGCAGCGAAAUGCGAUACGUAAUGUGAAUUGCAGAAUUCAGUGAAUCAUCGAAUCUUUGAACGCACCUUGCGCCCCUUGGUAUUCCGAAGGGCACACCCGUUUGAGUGUCAUGAAGUUCUCAACCUUCUUUUUUUCAAUUUAAAGAAAGGCUUGGACUUUGGAGGCUUUUUGCCGGUUUCUCUUGAAGGAGAUCGGCUCCUCUUAAAUGGAUUAGUAGGAUCCCUUUUGUGCUGGUCCUUGACGUGAUAAGGCUUUUACGUCUGGAGCUCUUAGCCAUAUAAGGCCUGCUUCUAAUCGUCUCUCAAGACAAAUCAUAUGAACGAACCCCUUUGACCUCAAAUCGGGUGAGACUACCCGCUGAACUUAAGCAUAUCAAUAAG